GAGCCGCAGUGAAUAGGCCCAAGCGACUGUUUAUCAAAAACACAGGUCUCUGCUAACACGCAAGUGGAUGUAUAGAGACUGACGCCUGCCCGGUGUUGGUAGGUUAAGGAAGACGGUUAGCUCUUCGGAGCGAAGCUGGCGACCGAAGCCCCAAUAAACGGCGGCCCUAACUAUGAGGGUCCUAAGGUAGCGAAGUUCCUUGUCGGGUAAGUUCCGACCUGCAUGAAAGGCGUAACGAAUUCAGCACUGUCUCAACCACAGACCCGGUGAAAUUGUAGUUGUGGUGAAGAUGCCACAUACCCGCGGUUAGACGGAAAGACCCCGUGCACCUUUACUGCAGCUUCAGAGUGGCAUUAGGAAAGAGUUGUGUAGCAUAGGUGGGAGGCUUUGAAGCGACGGCGCCAGCUGUCGUGGAGCCAUAGGUGAAAUACCACCCUGCUGUUUUCUGAUGUCUAACCACGCACCGUUAUCCGGUGUUGGGACCCUCUGUGGCGGGUAGUUUGACUGGGGCGGUCGCCUCCUAAAAGGUAACGGAGGCG
Molecule: ribosomal RNA, 539 nt
Filed under: Oxyrrhis marina
Lineage: Eukaryota; Dinophyceae; Oxyrrhinales; Oxyrrhinaceae
Description: partial Bacterial large subunit ribosomal RNA
Rfam family: Bacterial large subunit ribosomal RNA
Source: RNAcentral